RNAcentral lists this long non-coding RNA (392 nucleotides) under Ananas comosus (pineapple). Its description in RNAcentral is "long non-coding RNA (ACOM_LNC039405)". Lineage: Eukaryota; Viridiplantae; Streptophyta; Magnoliopsida; Poales; Bromeliaceae. The record is from RNAcentral.
ACUUACAGAUUUGCAGAUACUAUAUAUCGUAAUUAGCCACUGACAUUCUUACACAUGACGGUCAUAUGACAAAUAAAAAUUCAGAUCUAAUACACCGAUUACUUUGUAUAUAUCAGAUCGAUCUAGAAUAUAAGUAUUAUUUUGCUUUUAUAAUGUUACGCUUACUAAAGAAUUGCCGGAAGUAACGGAUGAGUAGCUAAUUACAUUAGCGCAAAAGUUUUAUCGAUCUUUAUCAUUUGUCAAAUACUGCAAACAAUAAAAAAUCAGAAAAUCUUAAACGGUUGUGAACAUAAAAUAAUUUUUUUUGGAUAUAUGAAUAUUUCAUUUUAUUUUACACCUCUCAUCAUUUGGCUAUAAUAAUUGAUAGAUGAGAAGUGUUAUCAGACGUUUAC